UACGGAGGGUGCGAGCGUUGUCCGGAAUCACUGGGCGUAAAGGGCGCGUAGGCGGCGCGGAUAGUCGGCGGUGAAAGCCCGGAGCUCAACUCCGGGUCGGCCGUCGAUACUUCCGGGCUUGAGCACUGUAGAGGCAGAUGGAAUUCCGGGUGUAGCGGUGGAAUGCGUAGAGAUCCGGAAGAACACCGGUGGCGAAGGCGGUCUGCUGGGCAGUUGCUGACG
Molecule: ribosomal RNA, 222 nt
Filed under: uncultured bacterium
Lineage: Bacteria
Description: partial 16S ribosomal RNA
Rfam family: Bacterial small subunit ribosomal RNA
Source: RNAcentral